RNAcentral lists this ribosomal RNA (253 nucleotides) under uncultured bacterium. RNAcentral's name for it is "partial 16S ribosomal RNA". It matches the Rfam family "Bacterial small subunit ribosomal RNA", at positions 524 to 776 of the family's 1533-position model. The record is from RNAcentral.
UACGUAGGGGCCUAGCGUUGUCCGGAUUUAUUGGGCGUAAAGAGCGUGUAGGCGGCCAGACAGGUCCGUUGUGAAAACUCGAGGCUCAACCUCGAGACGUCGACGGAAACCGUCUGGCUAGAGUCCGGAAGAGGAGUGUGGAAUUCCUGGUGUAGCGGUGAAAUGCGCAGAUAUCAGGAAGAACACCUAUGGCGAAGGCAGCACUCUGGGACGGUACUGACGCUGAGACGCGAAAGCGUGGGGAGCGAACAGG